AACGAACGCUGGCGGCAUGCCUAACACAUGCAAGUCGAACGAGACCUUCGGGUCUAGUGGCGCACGGGUGCGUAACGCGUGGGAACCUGCCCUUAGGUUCGGAAUAACUCCCCGAAAGGGGUGCUAAUACCGGAUAAUGUCUUCGGACCAAAGAUUUAUCGCCUUUGGAUGGGCCCGCGUUGGAUUAGCUAGUUGGUAGGGUAAAAGCCUACCAAGGCGACGAUCCAUAACUGGUCUGAGAGGAUGAUCAACCACACUGGGACUGAGACACGGCCCAGACUCCUACGGGAGGCAGCAGUGGGGAAUAUUGGACAAUGGGCGAAAGCCUGAUCCAGCAAUGCCGCGUGAGUGAUGAAGGCCUUAGGGUUGUAAAGCUCUUUUACCCGGGAUGAUAAUGACAGUACCGGGAGAAUAAGCUCCGGCUAACUCCGUG
Molecule: ribosomal RNA, 433 nt
Filed under: uncultured bacterium
Lineage: Bacteria
Description: partial 16S ribosomal RNA
Rfam family: Bacterial small subunit ribosomal RNA
Source: RNAcentral